This 613-nucleotide non-coding RNA is filed under the name Campylobacter gracilis RM3268. Its description in RNAcentral is "Bacterial large subunit ribosomal RNA". It matches the Rfam family "Bacterial large subunit ribosomal RNA", at positions 589 to 1206 of the family's 2925-position model. Lineage: Bacteria; Pseudomonadati; Campylobacterota; Epsilonproteobacteria; Campylobacterales; Campylobacteraceae. The record is from Rfam by way of RNAcentral.
CAGUGUGAUGGACUGCCUUUUGCAUAAUGAGCCUGCGAGUUGUGGUGUCUGGCGAGGUUAAGGAAACCCGGAGCCGUAGCGAAAGCGAGUCUUAAUAGGGCGAUUAGUCAGAUGCUGCAGACCCGAAACGAUGUGAUCUAUCCAUGAGCAGGUUGAAGCCGGUGUAAGAGCCGGUGGAGGACCCAACCGACGGCCGUUGAAAAGGCUCCGGAUGACUUGUGGAUAGGGGUGAAAGGCCAAUCAAACAUCGUGAUAGCUGGUUCUCUCCGAAAUAUAUUGAGGUAUAGCGUCGUGUAGUAGUUAUAAGGGGUAGAGCACUGAAUGGGCUAGGGCAUACACCAAUGUACCAAACCCUAUCAAACUCCGAAUACUUAUAGCGUAACCACGGCAGUCAGGCGGCGAGUGAUAAAAUCCGUCGUCAAGAGGGAAACAACCCGGACUAACAGCUAAGGUCCCCAAAUCUCAUUUAAGUGGAAAACGAUGUGAAGUUACUGAAACAACCAGGAGGUUGGCUUAGAAGCAGCCAUCCUUUAAAGAUAGCGUAAUAGCUCACUGGUCUAGUGAUUUUGCGCGGAAAAUAUAACGGGGCUAAAAUGAGUACCGAAGCUUUAGA